RNAcentral lists this ribosomal RNA (454 nucleotides) under uncultured organism. RNAcentral's name for it is "partial 16S ribosomal RNA". It matches the Rfam family "Bacterial small subunit ribosomal RNA", at positions 334 to 797 of the family's 1533-position model. The record is from RNAcentral.
CACUCCUGCGGGAGGCAGCAGUGGGGAAUAUUGCACAAUGGGCGCAAGCCUGAUGCAGCGACGCCGCGUGGGGGAUGAAGGCCUUCGGGUUGUAAACUCCUUUCGCUAGGGACGAAGCUUUUUUGUGACGGUACCUAGAUAAGAAGCACCGGCUAACUACGUGCCAGCAGCCGCGGUAAUACGUAGGGUGCGAGCGUUGUCCGGAAUUACUGGGCGUAAAGGGCUCGUAGGUGGUUUGUCGCGUCGUCUGUGAAAUUCUGGGGCUUAACUCCGGGCGUGCAGGCGAUACGGGCAUAACUUGAGUGCUGUAGGGGUAACUGGAAUUCCUGGUGUAGCGGUGAAAUGCGCAGAUAUCAGGAGGAACACCGAUGGCGAAGGCAGGUUACUGGGCAGUUACUGACGCUGAGGAGCGAAAGCAUGGGUAGCGAACAGGAUUAGAAACCCGUGUAGUCCC